GGGGGGGAUUGUAGGUGCAGGCUCCCCAAACCAUCGCGACGAACCACUGAACAGUUGCUUCGGCAGGCCGGCCCCCCGCCCACCCGCGGGGGGCCGCCGAGGGCCUGCCGGAGGCACCCAAACCAUUGCUUUUUUACCGGCCUCUCUGAGUACUGUACUUAAAAUGAGUCAAAACUUUCAACAACGGAUCUCUUGGUUCUGGCAUCGAUGAAGAACGCAGCGAAAUGCGAUAAGUAAUGUGAAUUGCAGAAUUCAGUGAAUCAUCGAAUCUUUGAACGCACAUUGCGCCCGCCAGUAUUCUGGCGGGCAUGCCUGUCCGAGCGUCAUUUCAACCAUCAAGCCCCCGGGCUUGUGUUGGGGACCUGCGUCCGACCGCAGGCCCCGAAAACCAGUGGCGGGCUCGCUGUCCACACCGAGCGUAGUAGACAACCUCGCUGCGGAGUGGCGCGGGCGCCUGCCGUAAAAACCCCCACUUACCCAAGGUUGACCUCGGAUCAGGUAGGAAUACCCGCUGAACUUAAGCAUAUCAAUAAGCGGAGGA
RNAcentral lists this ribosomal RNA (541 nucleotides) under Podospora sp. 7GJ-4. RNAcentral describes it as "eukaryotic LSU rRNA". The stretch from base 173 to 326 matches the Rfam family "5.8S ribosomal RNA". The record is from RNAcentral. Lineage: Eukaryota; Fungi; Ascomycota; Sordariomycetes; Sordariales; Podosporaceae.